CAUGCAGUCGACGAUGAAGCCUAGCUUGCUAGGUGGAUUAGUGGCGCACGGGUGAGUAAUAUAUAGAUAACGUGCCUCUUAGUCUGGGAUAGCCAUUGGAAACGAUGAUUAAUACUAGAUACUCCUUCUAACUCUAAUGUUAGUCGGGAAAGUUUUUCGCUAAAAGAUCGGUCUAUAUCCCAUCAGUUAGUUGGUAAGGUAACGGCUUACCAAGGCAAUGACGGGUAGCGGGUUUGAGAGGAUGAUCCGCCACACUGGUACUGAGACACGGACCAGACUCCUACGGGAGGCAGCAGUGGGGAAUAUUGCACAAUGGAGGAAACUCUGAUGCAGCAACGCCGCGUGGAGGAUGACGCAUUUCGGUGCGUAAACUCCUUUUAUAUGGGAAGAUAAUGACGGUACCAUAUGAAUAAGCACCGGCUAACUCCGUGCCAGCAGCCGCGGUAAUACGGAGGGUGCAAGCGUUACUCGGAAUCACUGGGCGUAAAGCGCGCGCAGGCGGGCUGAUAAGCUGGAUGUGAAAUCCUAUGGCUUAACCAUAGAACUGCGUCCAGAACUGUCAGUCUAGAGUCUGGGAGGGGAAGAUGGAAUUAGUUGUGUAGGGGUAAAAUCCGUAGAGAUAACUAGGAAUACCAAAAGCGAAGGCGAUCUUCUGGAACAGUACUGACGCUAAGGCGCGAAAGCGUGGGGAGCAAACAGGAUUAGAUACCCUGGUAGUCCACGCCCUAAACGAUGAAUGUUAGUCGUUGGUGUCCUAGUGACAUCAGUGAUGCAGCUAACGCAUUAAACAUUCCGCCUGGGGAGUACGGUCGCAAGA
Molecule: ribosomal RNA, 817 nt
Filed under: uncultured bacterium
Lineage: Bacteria
Description: bacterial SSU rRNA
Rfam family: Bacterial small subunit ribosomal RNA
Source: RNAcentral